GACGAACCGUGCAAACGUUGUCCGGAUUUAUUGGGCGUAAAGAGCGUGUAGGCGGCCAGGUAGGUCCGUUGUGAAAACUCGAGGCUCAACCUCGAGACGUCGGCGGAAACCAUCUGGCUAGAGUCCGGAAGAGGAGAGUGGAAUUCCUGGUGUAGCGGUGAAAUGCGCAGAUAUCAGGAAGAACACCCGUGGCGAAGGCGGCUCUCUGGGACGGUACUGACGCUGAGACGCGAAAGCGUGGGGAGCAAACAGG
Molecule: ribosomal RNA, 253 nt
Filed under: uncultured prokaryote
Description: partial 16S ribosomal RNA
Rfam family: Bacterial small subunit ribosomal RNA
Source: RNAcentral